Molecule: long non-coding RNA, 2297 nt
Organism: Tympanuchus pallidicinctus (lesser prairie-chicken)
Lineage: Eukaryota; Metazoa; Chordata; Aves; Galliformes; Phasianidae
Exons: 3
Source: RefSeq, a predicted model, not a curated record
GCAAGCCAUCCCGCCGCGCCGGGCUUUUCCCGCAGUCUCCAUCGCCGGGGAGCGGUUUGUGUCCGGCUGCGAGCGAUGCACAUGCAGAAGAUGGUGCUCCCUUUUAGAUACUGUAAAGCCACUCUCAGCUCUCCCCAAAGCCUUCUCCAGGCUGAACAGCACCAGCUCUCAGUCUCCAUUGUAGAAGAGGUGUUCCGUUCCACGGAUCAUUUCUGUGGCCCUCUUCUGGACGUGCUCCUGCAGGUCCAUGUCUCCCCUGUACUGAGGACUCCACAUCUGGAUGCAGUACUCCAGACAGACGUGUGCUUGGAGUAAAUAUGUUUAUGAAGAGACCUGGAAGGAAGAGGAGGAAUAUGAGAAGAUUUUUGCUAUAGAAGAAAUGAAGGCUGUAUGUUAGCCAGGAGGAGUAAAACUACAGAGGCAUCCACCUUAUGGAAAUCCCAGAGAAAAACAAGAUAUGAAGUAGAUACAGAUACUUUGUCAUAUGGACAGAACUUUAAUGCAUAUGUACUGAUAAAUACCCAUAUGCUGAAGUAGCAACUUUGAUUCAUAUUUAUACAUUCUUGCAUUCAACAUAUAAAUCCUAGCUACGCAAUCUGUUAAGAAGGCAUGUUGUUAUGGUUUUGAAGACAUGUAACUUUGUGAGGGAGAGGAGGACUUGGCUGAGAAAGGCAUAAAGAAGCUAUACAAUUACCAAGGAUAGGUUGAGAAUUAGGAGUAUGGAGAUGACAAAAGAGGAAGAUAAGAGUAAGAGAUACAGAAACAAAAAUCCAUCACCACUCCUCCCAGGCAGAUUCUAGGUGCACUGAGGCAGUGACAGCAUGAAAACAGAGAACAUCCUCCCUCUGCCCUGUGUGCCAGUGCUGCUGAAUGAACUUCUUCUGAGUAGGCAAAUGUCUGUGCCAUAAAGGCUCCCCAUGGCACAGCCAUCUGGGCAGAGAUCAAUCUGGAAACUAAAUUCAGUCAUUUAGAUUAGUCUUGCUUCAGAUAUGACUUUCAUGAUGUGGUCAGCGUGAAUGCUUCAGCAAUAAAGAAAACAAUUCGCUCAGCAACCUGUCCUUUCUUAGUCCUUUCGUGCCUUAUGAUAUGUUGUAGCUCACACAUACCUGUCAGAUAGAUCCAUUAGACUGUAAACUCUGGGACAAAGAUAUUUCUUCUGUGAAGUGCUUAGCACUUCUGGGCAAUAAAAAGUAAAUAAAAUACAAAUCAUUCAUCUAGAACUGUUUACACUCCACCCUUUGGCAUCAUCUCACAUCACCUCUUGAAGCGAUACCAGCAGUUAUGAAUAGAUAAGCAGUGCACCAGAACAAGGCAGUUAGCCAGAUAGGUUCCUUUCAGUCACAGAACUCAUUUUCAGGAAAUUGCCUUAGUGCUUUCUUGCAUUUUUGUUCUUAUUGACUUAUUUUUUAUUCAUCUAAAUGCUUGGGUAGCCAGAACAGGUAAUUAUUUUUAAUAGUGCUUUUCAUUAACAGUGUUAUGUUGAUAUUGAGGCAGGGGUAGCAAAAACAUUUGGCUUUGAAUGCAUUCAUCCACUGCUCCCAUUCCUUUCUGCCACAGUGUCUGCAAAUGUUCUUUUCAAAUGUACCAAGUUUAAGAAAUUAAAUAUAUAUGCUAAGAGAUCUUGACCUUGAAAGGAAAGACUGUUGUGAUUGUCCUGCAGAAAGCUAAAAAGGUUGAUUAUACUUUAAAUCACAGUAAUAUCAGUCAUGAUUAUUCCAGUUUGAGAGAAAUGUUGAUAGAAUUAAUUAACUUAGACCUCACGCCCAGUUAGAAGAACAUCCCAUAUCCAGAAUUAACUGGUGCAAAGUUAUUGGGGAAAGAUAUGAGAAUCUGAGCAGCGGUUCAUUUAAACUUGAGGGAACUUCAGAGAAGUCCUUCCUCACUAAGAGCUCUCAGCUUCUGACAGUCAGGGAAUUCAGGUUUUUAAACUGAAGAUUUCAGAGGGGUCAAUGUGUUGAAGAGUUUCCUACAGUCAUAACUUCCGUGUAUUUAUCCAGUUUAUCUUAAGCAUAUUUUAUACAUUGUGUCCACAUUAUCCUAUGCAAAUGAGCUCUAAAACUCAUUCUAAGAAGUUCUUUUAUUUAGUCGGUUUUACAUCUUUCAUAUUUGCCAUUCUUGGCACUUUGCUAAGAAAAAAGAGGUAAAAGCCAUUUACCAUACCAUAUCACCCAUAGUUAUGUAUACCUUCAUAAUAUUACACUUCACCAAUGUCUCUUUCAAGAUGAAGAAUCCAUCCUCCAAAAAUUCUGUCCUCCUAUGUUCUAUAUUCUGUGCUAUAUACUAGAGCUCCAUGCCAC